Molecule: non-coding RNA, 98 nt
Organism: Astrocystis sublimbata
Lineage: Eukaryota; Fungi; Ascomycota; Sordariomycetes; Xylariales; Xylariaceae
Source: the annotation of a GenBank genome assembly
GGUCAGAUGGCCGAGUGGUUAUGGCGCUGCGUUCAGGUUAUCUGAACAAUAAUUUCGCAGUGGAGCAAUCCGCGUGGGUUCGAGUCCCACUCUGAUCA